This 218-nucleotide ribosomal RNA is filed under the name uncultured prokaryote. Its description in RNAcentral is "partial 16S ribosomal RNA". It matches the Rfam family "Bacterial small subunit ribosomal RNA", at positions 561 to 774 of the family's 1533-position model. The record is from RNAcentral.
CCCUAUGGGGUGCAGCAGGCGGAAAACUAAGUCAGUGGUGAAAUCCUGCAGCUUAACUGUAGAAUUGCCGUUGAUACUGUUAUUCUUGAGUGUGGUCAAGGUAGGCGGAAUGUGUAAUGUAGCGGUGAAAUGCUUAGAUAUUACACAGAACACCGAUUGCGAAGGCAGCUUACUGGGCCAUUACUGACGCUCAUGCACGAAAGCGUGGGGAUCGAACA